This 406-nucleotide ribosomal RNA is filed under the name uncultured bacterium. RNAcentral describes it as "partial 16S ribosomal RNA". It matches the Rfam family "Bacterial small subunit ribosomal RNA", at positions 30 to 526 of the family's 1533-position model. The record is from RNAcentral.
AUUGAACGCUGGCGGCAGGCCUAACACAUGCAAGUCGAACGAGUGGCGGACUGGUGAGUCAUGUCUGGGAAACUGCCCGCUGGAGGGGGAUAACUACUGUAAACGGUAGCUAAUACCGCAUACCAUCGGAUGUUCCCAGAUGGGAUUAGCUAGUAGGUGGGGUAAAGGAUCACCUAGGCGAAGAUCCCUAGCUGGUCUGAGAGGAGGACCAGCCACACGGGAACUGAGACACGGUCCAGACUCCUACGGGAGGAAGCAGUGGGGAAUAUUGGACAAUGGGCGCAAGCCUGAUGCAGCCAUGCCGCGUGUAUGAAGAAGGCCUUCGGGUUGUAAAGUACUUUCAGCGGGGAGGCGUUACCCGCAGAAGAAGCACCGGCUAACUCCGUGCCAGCAGCCGCGGUAAUAC